GAUGAACGCUGGCUACAGGCUUAACACAUGCAAGUCGAGGGGAAACGACAUCUAAAGCUUGCUUUUGAUGGGCGUCGACCGGCGCACGGGUGAGUAACGCGUAUCCAACCUGCACAUCACUUGGGAAUAACCUUGCGAAAGUAAGACUAAUACCCAAUGAUAUCCCACGAAGGCAUCGGAAUGGGAUUAAAGAUUUAUCGGUGACGGAUGGGGAUGCGUCUGAUUAGCUUGUUGGCGGGGUAACGGCCCACCAAGGCAACGAUCAGUAGGGGUUCUGAGAGGAAGGUCCCCCACAUUGGAACUGAGACACGGUCCAAACUCCUACGGGAGGCAGCAGUGAGGAAUAUUGGUCAAUGGGCGAGAGCCUGAACCAGCCAAGUAGCGUGCAGGAAGACGGCCCUAUGGGUUGUAAACUGCUUUUAUAAGGGAAUAAAGUGGGUCACGUGUGACUUUUUGCAUGUACCUUAUGAAUAAGGACCGGCUAAUUCCGUG
RNAcentral lists this ribosomal RNA (492 nucleotides) under uncultured bacterium. RNAcentral describes it as "partial 16S ribosomal RNA". It matches the Rfam family "Bacterial small subunit ribosomal RNA", at positions 28 to 507 of the family's 1533-position model. The record is from RNAcentral.